This 302-nucleotide ribosomal RNA is filed under the name uncultured bacterium. RNAcentral's name for it is "partial 16S ribosomal RNA". It matches the Rfam family "Bacterial small subunit ribosomal RNA", at positions 508 to 807 of the family's 1533-position model. The record is from RNAcentral.
GCAGUAGCCGCGGUAAUACGAAGGGGGCUAGCGUUGUUCGGAAUUACUGGGCGUAAAGCGCACGUAGGCGGAUAUUUAAGUCAGGGGUGAAAUCCCGCAGCUCAACUGCGGAACUGCCUUUGAUACUGGGUAUCUUGAGUAUGGAAGAGGUUAGUGGAAUUGCGAGUGUAGAGGUGAAAUUCGUAGAUAUUCGCAGGAACACCAGUGGCGAAGGCGGCUAACUGGUCCAUAACUGACGCUGAGGUGCGAAAGCGUGGGGAGCAAACAGGAUUAGAUACCCGAGUAGUCCCUGUCUCUUAUAC